Molecule: RNA transcript, 1217 nt
Organism: Hyaena hyaena (striped hyena)
Lineage: Eukaryota; Metazoa; Chordata; Mammalia; Carnivora; Hyaenidae
Exons: 6
Source: RefSeq, a predicted model, not a curated record
GCCGGGCUGCCGGCCGGGGGCGCCGCUGCCGGGGACGGCCGUCCGUUUCCGGGGCGGAGCGAGGAGGGAGUCGCGCUCGAAGGACGGGCGCGGAGACCCCGACCCUCACCCGCGACUGGGACUCGGACCCGGACUCGGGCCCCCGACGCGGGGCUGGGAGUGGGACCCCAGCCCCCGCCCGCGGCCGGGCGGAGCCUCGAGGCAGAGAGGCCGGGGUCAGGCCGCGGGGCGCCCUCCGCCGUUGAAAGGGGGCCGCGGGGCGCGCGUUCCGAGCAGCGAGGGUGGCGGGCGCCCGGGCGCAGGCAGAACCCGCGUCCUACAGACGGUGAGGAAACAGACUCAAAAACAUUAAAAGUUCCCGUCCAAGGUCACAGCUGAGAAGUGAUCGCACAGAGCCGCAGAGCUGAACAAGUGUUUCCACACUUGCCCUGGCCUCGGAGGCCCUGGACGGUUGCACAGUGCAAGCACUGACUGCUACCCAAGUCACACUGCUGAGCUCCUGCUGCUGAGGCUGUCAGAGCUCCGAAUGACCUGUUCUCCAACGAGGGGAACAGGGACACGCUGCCACGGAACUGCUUCCACCAGGGUUUUGUUUCUUGCAUCAGGAGCCCUUGGUGGCCGCAGGUGACCGCACCGAAGAGAACAGGCCUCCCGGGAAAGCCUGUGCACAGCUGCCCCGUGGGGACCGAGAUGAGGAAGCUGCAGAUUGAGAGCCCACAAGGUCCUGCCAACUCUGCCUUCACAACACAUCCCGGCCCCAACUGCCUCGUGGGCCCCGACGGCACUGCAGCCUCGCACCGCCUUCUCUGUGCCCUCGUCUUCUCCGGAGCGACGCUUCAACGUACAUGUCAGUUUGGACUCACAUCUCUAGCGCUUAGCUGUCCUUUGCGGCUAGAAGCUAUCAUAUUGGACAGCGGACCUCGAAUGUUCUCCCAUCUACUCACCUCCUCCUCAGACUCUGACAGCAGUUCAAGUGUAACACCUUACGGAAAUCUUUUGCAAGCCACUCCCCGGACCAGGCCUGGUUUUCACUCCGUAUUCUUUCAUAACUCCUUGUGCGUUUCUUUCAAAGUGCUCACUGUGUGGCUGCUUGUAAACCUGUUUUCCCUGCGAGUCGACUCGCCGCGGUCCCGUGGUCCUCCCGGGGCUGGAUAGCGUCUGGCUCGUGGCAAUAACCAUUUCUGAAUAAAUGCAUGAAACGGCUUCUUUCUCUUUAC